AUCAGCGGUAAACACUUAAGAGUAGCUAUUAUUAACAGCUAUUACCAGGUAAGGAACUUGCCUAAGGUCACACAGCUAAUAAGCAUCAGGCCUGGAAAUUCAGCCCUUGCUUUCUCCUCUACACUUGUCUUCCUCAUAUACCACACUAUUGCAUUUUUUACAUGGUUUUUACUUGCAAAUUGUGAACUUGGAUGAUUUCCUUGUGUGCCCCACAUAUUCCUUUAUCUCACAGUAUUUACAGAGCAUCCACUGUAUGUGAACUGCAUUGGAUGAUUGACAAGGGAAGAGCCUACAAGCAGGGGCUGCACUUGUGCAGGUAACAGGUAAAACGUAACGCUUCUCAAAGCCUUGCGACCCCCUAAAUCGAAAUCUGGAGAAGGGGCAGGGGUCGCAAAGGAGACGACGAAAGGGAAGUGACUGAGGCAGAGGUCAAAGUGAAGUCUUGCGAUCAACCCAGAACUGAAGGGAAGGGGAAUAAACUGGACAAGCCUGAUAGUUACAGUCACAAAUAGUGGAGGAAGCCAAGCACAGAGAGACGAGGUCUCCUUCUGUUGCCCAGGCUAGUCUCAAACUCCUGGCCUGAAGCAAUCCUCUUGCCUCAGCCUCCCAAAAUGUUGGGAUUACAGGUGUGAGCCACUGUGCCUAGCCCCCACUCUUUUAGGCCACUGGAGGAAAUUCCAGUCACUAGGGAGGGGGCUCUGGGGCGAACCACCCCGCUGUGCUGGAGCUGACCAUCCCCCAUGUGUGUGGCAGGGCAGAGCAUCCUUUACAGAAGAAUGAGAGACUGGAAGGCUGCUGCUAUAACCACAUUUUCUAGAUUUCUUCCUCAUCUUCUCUUGCAUGAGGCCCUUUUCUCUCUUUCUUCCCUUGUCAGCGGCCUUCUGGGCUGGCACCAUUUGCUUUCAGGGCUGACAGUUGGCUGGGAAAAGUGCCUGUAUUUCUCUUCUCUCAUUGGCAUCUGUCUUAACCCUCCUUAUCGCAGCUGCUGCUGUGAGCUCAUGCAUCCUCUGUGUGCUGUUUUCCACCCCCAAAUUGCCGAACCUGCCCUGUUUGCUGUUUCUGGUGGUGCAGAGCAUUUCAAAAUUAAAAAUUUAAGACAUU
Long non-coding RNA from Homo sapiens (human), 1101 nucleotides. The record is from Ensembl. NCBI's taxonomy places the organism in Eukaryota, Metazoa, Chordata, Mammalia, Primates, Hominidae.